RNAcentral lists this unclassified non-coding RNA (2619 nucleotides) under Leishmania donovani. RNAcentral describes it as "gene:LdHU3.34.5730(CDS-product:Inositol-pentakisp hosphate_2-kinase_putative)". The record is from RNAcentral. Lineage: Eukaryota; Euglenozoa; Kinetoplastea; Trypanosomatida; Trypanosomatidae.
GCAUGAUAUGAAGCCGCUUCCGAAGGCAAGGCGCACACCUUCUGGCUCGGCUGCUGCGUGCGAAGGCACCCACCCCAGGCGCACAUGCGCACCAGCUCGAAACCUCCUUCCUAGGAUGACUGCCUUCCCGUCGCUGCCUCAUCAUCCAUGGACGCCUCUUUCAUUGUGUUUCUCGGCGCUGGAAAGUGCAAUGUGGUGGUGGAUCUGCCCAUGUGUUUGGUGCCGAGCUCCUUGAGCGCGGCAUCGCACCCUACUGGCGCUGCCGCGCAGCGCGCAGCCCUGCGCAUCCGCGACACGGCGGUAAAGGAGUGUUCAGAGUGCUACCGCGCGCUGGAGGCGUACGCGGGUGGGCGACGGGUCGUGCCGCUCCCGGCAGACCUCUACGCAGCGAUUGCGAGCGUCGUGCCGGCGAAGUAUCACGCGCUAAUGCACAACGCAUCGGAGGCUACACUGAUGCCUAACUUCACCAGCGAUCCAGCGCAGCUGCUUCAGAUGGACAUGGCUGCCUCAGACGCAGCCGGGCGAGUGGCCGACUACACGGUGGAGGUAAAACCAAAAAGCGCGUGGCAGCCACCACAAGUUGUGGGUAUCGUGGCGGAUGGCGUUGCUCACUGGAUUGAGGAGGUGAAGCAUCGCCACUGCCGCUACGCGCAGAUGCUGCGGUACAAGGAGGUGCGCGACGUGGCGGAGGGGGCUCCGGAGUCUGUGGCCUCGGCAGCGCCGCACGACUCUGUGCGCAGCGCUAAGAUGGGCAGCGGUCCCUACUGCCCGAACUACUUGUUUCGGCCCGCCCUCUCGUCACGCGAGGGGCUGCAACGACUCAUGCACAACCCACAGAACAACCUGAAGGUGGUCAGCUACCACGCAUCCCGCAAGGGCACCCACACAGGCGACCCGAAGACACUGACGGUUGAGGAGCUGAACGGCAUUGCUGAUGCCAUCGACGCCUCGCGGGUGCUAGCACCCUUGGCCCACCUGCAGCUGUACGGCUGCGCCCCUGCAAGCGCAGAUGCUUCGCCGGAGGAGGCUCAGUCGCGCUCGGUGCCCGUGCUGGACGCACAUCUGCUCUACCACUGGUCUGUUGCCCAAAACAAAGAGAAUGUUCAAUGGAUCGUCGUGGACACAGACCCGGAGACGCUCUGUAGCUGCAUGUCGAUCACUGACGGGGACGCUUGCAAGCGACCGAGUCGCGCAAGCCCUCGGUAUGUGGCGCCAACGUUGGACUACGCAGAAUGCCUCGACCGCUUUUACGUCUCCACCACAGCCAAGGACGUGUCGCUGAUGAUUGCUGUCUCGUGCUGUAAGAGCCAGCCGGUGUCGCCCGCGAGCGAGUGCGCGGUUCUGACCAACAUUUUGCCAGAGGUGGGCGGCGGCUGCUUUGUUCGCCGCGGUGCCGACGUUUACCGUAUCGGUGUGGUGGACCUGGACUCCAAAACGCACAAGUCUCUGGCUCACUACUACAUGCACGACAAGGUCAUUGUCAACGCCUUCGUGGCCCGCGAUAGCAACAUGGGAAAUUAGUGAAAAGCGAAAGACAAAGAUGGGGAUGGACGGGUGGCUGGGCGAUAAGGCCUGCGCUCGUGUGAGUUCGUGUCUUAAGGGAUACAGUGUUUUUGUUUACCGCUCAACGCUGCGGCCCUGUUGCCGCUUUCAAAGGAUGGUGCCACGACUGGCACCACUUCUUUGCCCACAUAGCAUGACCACACAGCCGAGCUCACGCAAUCGCGCAGACGUUGGCGCGCGCGCCGGGUUUCACUUUAUGUUGUUCAAAUGUUUUUUCUCGGCACUGUCGAUGCUGUCGCAUGCUCCUUGUCUGCUCUGUCGAGCUCAGCGGUUGCAUCAUGCGUGUUGGCCACGAACUCAUACACGCUUGCACGCGUGUGCGUCCUCCCUAUCUCGCUUGCGUGUGCACGGUAUCCUUCUCCACGUAUGAGGCGAGAGGGACACGCGCGUGCGCAAAGAGACGGGAGCACACCGCCCAUCAGACGGCGCGCGGGCGCACAUUCCUCUCUCCGCACAAGCAAGCGGCUCCGAACCUCUGCAGUGGCAGGGAAUGCGCUUGCAUUGCUUUUGUUCCGGUGCACUCGCUGCGGCGCGCUCGGAGGGGGGAUCGGGUACAUUGCCCGGGACGGAGGCGUAGGAAAACGUGAGUCGAUGAUAGCGGCGGACGCGGGUCAUGGAUUCCGCACGAGGUUGCUUUGGUGGUGCCUCCGCAGUGACGUGGCAUCACCCGAUAAAACAGGCGGCCAAGCGAGAACCGGUUGUUAUCAUUCGCCUUCGGGCGUCAGCGGCUGCCAGUGUUGCAUCCCUGCUCGCCGGAUGUGCAUGCCAGAUGGUGUGUUGCACUCUGCUGCUCGUCCUCGCGUUUGAGGCACAUACGUGGGUCUUUCGAUAUGUGUGUAUACUGUUUACGAUGCUUGCGCUCUGUCUCACCGCUGCUUCUACGAAUAUGCACCCCCACCCCUCGUUCGCCAUCCCCUCAUGCUAAUGAACUCGUCCACUCUCAGAAUGCCCCUUCUGCGCCCGCUUUCUCCGCUCCUGUGCACACGGUUGGUGACUGCGCCGCUGCCAUGUGUUGUGCACUUGUGUAAUGUGCGGUGCUGCUGACAUGCGCCGCAG